This 439-nucleotide ribosomal RNA is filed under the name uncultured bacterium. RNAcentral's name for it is "partial 16S ribosomal RNA". It matches the Rfam family "Bacterial small subunit ribosomal RNA", at positions 339 to 795 of the family's 1533-position model. The record is from RNAcentral.
CUACGGGUGGCUGCAGUGAGGAAUAUUGCACGAUGGGGGGAACCCUGAUGCAGCAACGCCGCGUGGAGGAUGACGCAUUUCGGUGUGUAAACUCCUUUUAUAUGUCAAGAAAAUGACGGUAGCAUAUGAAUAAGCACCGGCUAACUCCGUGCCAGCAGCCGCGGUAAUACGGAGGGUGCAAGCGUUACUCGGAAUCACUGGGCGUAAAGGACGCGUAGGCGGGUUGGAAAGUCAGGUGUGAAAUCCUACAGCUUAACUGUAGAACUGCACUUGAAACUUCUAAUCUAGAGUAUGGGAGGGGGAGAUGGAAUUAGUGGUGUAGGGGUAAUAUCCGUAGAUAUCACUAGGAAUACCUAAAGCGAAGGCGAUCUCCUGGAACAUUACUGACGCUAAGGCGUGAAAGCGUGGGGAGCAAACAGGAUUAGAUACCCUCGUAGUC